AACGAACGCUGGCGGCAGGCCUAACACAUGCAAGUCGAGCGCCCAGCAAUGGGAGCGGCAGACGGGUGAGUAACACGUGGGAACCUUCCCUAUAGUACGGAAUAGCCCAGGGAAACUUGGAGUAAUACCGCAUACGCCCGAGAGGGGAAAGAUUUAUCGCUAUAGGAUGGGCCCGCGUAGGAUUAGCUAGUUGGUGAGGUAAUGGCUCACCAAGGCGACGAUCCUUAGCUGGUCUGAGAGGACGACCAGCCACACUGGGACUGAGACACGGCCCAGACUCCUACGGGAGGCAGCAGUGGGGAAUAUUGGACAAUGGGCGCAAGCCUGAUCCAGCCAUGCCGCGUGAGUGAUGAAGGCCUUAGGGUUGUAAAGCUCUUUUGCCGGGGACGAUAAUGACGGUACCCGGAGAAUAAGCUCCGGCUAACUCCGUGCCAGCAGCCGCGGUAA
RNAcentral lists this ribosomal RNA (447 nucleotides) under uncultured bacterium. RNAcentral describes it as "bacterial SSU rRNA". It matches the Rfam family "Bacterial small subunit ribosomal RNA", at positions 29 to 523 of the family's 1533-position model. The record is from RNAcentral.